Molecule: ribosomal RNA, 448 nt
Filed under: uncultured bacterium
Lineage: Bacteria
Description: partial 16S ribosomal RNA
Rfam family: Bacterial small subunit ribosomal RNA
Source: RNAcentral
GCCCAGACUCCUACGGGAGGCAGCAGUGGGGAAUAUUGCACAAUGGGGGAAACCCUGAUGCAGCGACGCCGCGUGAGCGAAGAAGUAUUUCGGUAUGUAAAGCUCUAUCAGCAGGGAAGAAAUUGACGGUACCUGAGUAAGAAGCUCCGGCUAAAUACGUGCCAGCAGCCGCGGUAAUACGUAGGGGGCAAGCGUUAUCCGGAUUUACUGGGUGUAAAGGGGGCGCAGACGGCAAUGCAAGCCAGGAGUGAAAGCCCGGGGCCCAACCCCGGGACUGCUCUUGGAACUGCAUGGCUGGAGUACAGGAGGGGCAGGCGGAAUUCCUAGUGUAGCGGUGAAAUGCGUAGAUAUUAGGAGGAACACCGGUGGCGAAGGCGGCCUGCUGGACUGUGACUGACGUUGAGGCCCGAAGGCGUGGGGAGCAAACAGGAUUAGAUACCCUCGUAUA